GAUGAACGCUGGCGGCGUGCCUAAUACAUGCAAGUCGAGCGAACAGACGAGGAGCUUGCUCCUCUGACGUUAGCGGCGGACGGGUGAGUAACACGUGGAUAACCUACCUAUAAUACUGGGAUAACUUCGGGAAACCGGAGCUAAUACCGGAUAAUAUAUUGAACCGCAUGGUUCAAUAGUGAAAGACGGUUUUGCUGUCACUUAUAGAUGGAUCCGCGCCGCAUUAGCUAGUUGGUAAGGUAACGGCUUACCAAGGCGACGAUGCGUAGCCGACCUGAGAGGGUGAUCGGCCACACUGGAACUGAGACACGGUCCAGACGCCUACGGGAGGCAGCAGUAGGGAAUCUUCCGAAAUGGGCGAAAGCCUGACGGAGCAACGCCGCGUGAGUGAUGAAGGUCUUCGGAUCGUAAAACUCUGUUAUUAGGGAAGAACAAAUGUGUAAGUAACUAUGCACGUCUUGACGGUACCUAAUCAGAAAGCCACGGCUAACUACGUG
This 497-nucleotide ribosomal RNA is filed under the name uncultured bacterium. RNAcentral describes it as "partial 16S ribosomal RNA". It matches the Rfam family "Bacterial small subunit ribosomal RNA", at positions 28 to 507 of the family's 1533-position model. The record is from RNAcentral.